UACGUAGGGCGCAAGCGUUGUCCGGAAUUAUUGGGCGUAAAGAGCUCGUAGGUGGUUUGUCGCGUCUGUUGUGAAAGCCCGGGGCUUAACUCCGGGUUUGCAGUGGAUACGGGCGGGCUGGAGUUCGGUAGGGGAGACUGGAAUUCCUGGUGUAGCGGUGAAAUGCGCAGAUAUCAGGAGGAACACCGGUGGCGAAGGCGGGUCUCUGGGCCGUAACUGACGCUGAGGAGCGAAAGCGUGGGGAGCGAACAGG
This 253-nucleotide ribosomal RNA is filed under the name uncultured bacterium. RNAcentral describes it as "partial 16S ribosomal RNA". It matches the Rfam family "Bacterial small subunit ribosomal RNA", at positions 524 to 776 of the family's 1533-position model. The record is from RNAcentral.